CUACGGGAUGCAGCAGUGAGGAAUAUUGCACCAUGGGGGGAACCCUGAUGCAGCAACGCCGCGUGGAGGGUGACGCAUUUCGGUGUGUAAACUCCUUUUAUAUGUCAAGAAAAUGACGGUAGCAUAUGAAUAAGCACCGGCUAACUCCGUGCCAGCAGCCGCGGUAAUACGGAGGGUGCAAGCGUUACUCGGAAUCACUGGGCGUAAAGGACGCGUAGGCGGGUUGGAAAGUCAGGUGUGAAAUCCUACAGCUUAACUGUAGAACUGCACUUGAAACUUCUAAUCUAGAGUAUGGGAGGGGGAGAUGGAAUUAGUGGUGUAGGGGUAAAAUCCGUAGAUAUCACUAGGAAUACCUAAAGCGAAGGCGAUCUCCUGGAACAUUACUGACGCUAAGGCGUGAAAGCGUGGGGAGCAAACAGGAUUAGAUACCCCGGUAGUC
RNAcentral lists this ribosomal RNA (439 nucleotides) under uncultured bacterium. RNAcentral describes it as "partial 16S ribosomal RNA". It matches the Rfam family "Bacterial small subunit ribosomal RNA", at positions 339 to 795 of the family's 1533-position model. The record is from RNAcentral.